This 253-nucleotide ribosomal RNA is filed under the name uncultured bacterium. Its description in RNAcentral is "partial 16S ribosomal RNA". It matches the Rfam family "Bacterial small subunit ribosomal RNA", at positions 524 to 776 of the family's 1533-position model. The record is from RNAcentral.
UACGUAGGGUGCGAGCGUUGUCCGGAAUUACUGGGCGUAAAGAGCUCGUAGGUGGUUUGUCGCGUUGUUCGUGAAAACUCACAACUCAAUUGUGGGCGUGCGGGCGAUACGGGCAGACUGGAGUACUGCAGGGGAGACUGGAAUUCCUGGUGUAGCGGUGGAAUGCGCAGAUAUCAGGAGGAACACCGAUGGCGAAGGCAGGUCUCUGGGCCACUACUGACGCUGAGGAGCGAAAGCGUGGGGAGCAAACAGG